AACGAACGCUGGCGGCGUGCCUAACACAUGCAAGUCGAGCGCGAAAGUCCGCAAGGAUGAGUAAAGCGGCGAACGGGUGAGUAACGCGUAGGUAACCUACCCUUCAGAUUGGGAUAACCUGUCGAAAGACGGGCUAAUACCGAAUAUGACCACGAUUUAUUUCGAGGUGAAAGAUGGCCUCUAUUUAUAAGCUAUCACUGAUUGAUGGGCCUGCGUAGCAUUAGCUAGUUGGUAGGGUAAUGGCCUACCAAGGCGACGAUGCUUAGCUGAUCUGAGAGGAUGAUCAGCCACACUGGAACUGAAACACGGUCCAGACUCCUACGGAGGCAGCAGUGGGGAAUAUUGCGCAAUGGGCGAAAGCCUGACGCAGCAACGCCGCGUGAGGGAUGAAGGCCUCGGUUGUAA
Molecule: ribosomal RNA, 405 nt
Filed under: uncultured bacterium
Lineage: Bacteria
Description: bacterial SSU rRNA
Rfam family: Bacterial small subunit ribosomal RNA
Source: RNAcentral